UUAAGUUAUUAAGGGCGCACGGUGGAUGCCUUGGCACUAGAAGCCGAUGAAGGACGUUACUAACGACGAUAUGCUUUGGGGAGCUGUAAGUAAGCUUUGAUCCAGAGAUUUCCGAAUGGGGAAACCCAGCAUGAGUUAUGUCAUGUUAUCGAUAUGUGAAUACAUAGCAUAUCAGAAGGCACACCCGGAGAACUGAAACAUCUUAGUACCCGGAGGAAGAGAAAGAAAAUUCGAUUCCCUUAGUAGCGGCGAGCGAAACGGGAAGAGCCCAAACCAAMAAGCUUGCUUGUUGGGGUUGUAGGACRCUCURUACGGAGUUACAAAGGACGACAUUAGACGAAUCAUCUGGAAAGAUGAAUCAAAGAAGGUAAUAAUCCUGUAGUCGAAAAUGUUGUCUCUCUUGAGUGGAUCCUGAGUACGACGGAGCACGUGAAAUUCCGUCGGAAUCUGGGAGGACCAUCUCCUAAGGCUAAAUACUCUCUAGUGACCGAUAGUGAACCAGUACCGUGAGGGAAAGGUGAAAAGCACCCCGGAAGGGGAGUGAAAUAGAACCUGAAACCGUGUGCUUACAAGUAGUCAGAGCCCGUUAAUGGGUGAUGGCGUGCCUUUUGUAGAAUGAACCGGCGAGUUACGAUUUGAUGCAAGGUUAAGCAGUAAAUGUGGAGCCGUAGCGAAAGCGAGUCUGAAUAGGGCGUUUAGUAUUUGGUCGUAGACCCGAAACCAGGUGAUCUACCCUUGGUCAGGUUGAAGUUCAGGUAACACUGAAUGGAGGACCGAACCGACUUACGUUGAAAAGUGAGCGGAUGAACUGAGGGUAGCGGAGAAAUUCCAAUCGAACCUGGAGAUAGCUGGUUCUCUCCGAAAUAGCUUUAGGGCUAGCCUCAAGUGAUGAUUAUUGGAGGUAGAGCACUGUUUGGACGAGGGGCCCCUCUCGGGUUACCGAAUUCAGACAAACUCCGAAUGCCAAUUAAUUUAACUUGGGAGUCAGAACAUGGGUGAUAAGGUCCGUGUUCGAAAGGGAAACAGCCCAGACCACCAGCUAAGGUCCCAAAAUAUAUGUUAAGUGGAAAAGGAUGUGGCGUUGCCCAGACAACUAGGAUGUUGGCUUAGAAGCAGCCAUCAUUUAAAGAGUGCGUAAUAGCUCACUAGUCGAGUGACACUGCGCCGAAAAUGUACCGGGGCUAAACAUAUUACCGAAGCUGUGGAUUGUCCUUUGGACAAUGGUAGGAGAGCGUUCUAAGGGCGUUGAAGCAUGAUCGUAAGGACAUGUGGAGCGCUUAGAAGUGAGAAUGCCGGUGUGAGUAGCGAAAGACGGGUGAGAAUCCCGUCCACCGAUUGACUAAGGUUUCCAGAGGAAGGCUCGUCCGCUCUGGGUUAGUCGGGUCCUAAGCUGAGGCCGACAGGCGUAGGCGAUGGAUAACAGGUUGAUAUUCCUGUACCACCUAUAAUCGUUUUAAUCGAUGGGGGGACGCAGUAGGAUAGGCGAAGCGUGCGAUUGGAUUGCACGUCUAAGCAGUAAGGCUGAGUAUUAGGCAAAUCCGGUACUCGUUAAGGCUGAGCUGUGAUGGGGAGAAGACAUUGWGUCUUCGAGUCGUUGAUUUCACACUGCCGAGAAAAGCCUCUAGAUAGAAAAUAGGUGCCCGUACCGCAAACCGACACAGGUAGUCAAGAUGAGAAUUCUAAGGUGAGCGAGCGAACUCUCGUUAAGGAACUCGGCAAAAUGACCCCGUAACUUCGGGAGAAGGGGUGCUCUUUAGGGUUAACGCCCAGAAGAGCCGCAGUGAAUAGGCCCAAGCGACUGUUUAUCAAAAACACAGGUCUCUGCUAAACCGUAAGGUGAUGUAUAGGGGCUGACGCCUGCCCGGUGCUGGAAGGUUAAGAGGAGUGGUUAGCUUCUGCGAAGCUACGAAUCGAAGCCCCAGUAAACGGCGGCCGUAACUAUAACGGUCCUAAGGUAGCGAAAUUCCUUGUCGGGUAAGUUCCGACCCGCACGAAAGGCGUAACGAUUUGGGCACUGUCUCAACGAGAGACUCGGUGAAAUCAUAGUACCUGUGAAGAUGCAGGUUACCCGCGACAGGACGGAAAGACCCCGUGGAGCUUUACUGUAGCCUGAUAUUGAAAUUCGGCACAGCUUGUACAGGAUAGGUAGGAGCCUUUGAAACGUGAGCGCUAGCUUACGUGGAGGCGCUGGUGGGAUACUACCCUAGCUGUGUUGGCUUUCUAACCCGCACCACUUAUCGUGGUGGGAGACAGUGUCARGCGGGCAGUUUGACUGGGGCGGUCGCCUCCUAAAAGGUAACGGAGGCGCUCAAAGGUUCCCUCAGAAUGGUUGGAAAUCAUUCAUAGAGUGUAAAGGCAUAAGGGAGCUUGACUGCGAGACCUACAAGUCGAGCAGGGUCGAAAGACGGACUUAGUGAUCCGGUGGUUCCGCAUGGAAGGGCCAUCGCUCAACGGAUAAAAGCUACCCCGGGGAUAACAGGCUUAUCUCCCCCAAGAGUUCACAUCGACGGGGAGGUUUGGCACCUCGAUGUCGGCUCAUCGCAUCCUGGGGCUGUAGUCGGUCCCAAGGGUUGGGCUGUUCGCCCAUUAAAGCGGUACGCGAGCUGGGUUCAGAACGUCGUGAGACAGUUCGGUCCCUAUCCGUCGUGGGCGUAGGAAAUUUGAGAGGAGCUGUCCUUAGUACGAGAGGACCGGGAUGGACAUACCUCUGGUGUACCAGUUGUCGUGCCAACGGCAUAGCUGGGUAGCUAUGUGUGGACGGGAUAAGUGCUGAAAGCAUCUAAGCAUGAAGCCCCCCUCAAGAUGAGAUUUCCCAACUUCGGUUAUAAGAUC
RNAcentral lists this ribosomal RNA (2832 nucleotides) under Staphylococcus aureus. RNAcentral's name for it is "bacterial LSU rRNA". It matches the Rfam family "Bacterial large subunit ribosomal RNA". The record is from RNAcentral. Lineage: Bacteria; Bacillati; Bacillota; Bacilli; Caryophanales; Staphylococcaceae.